GACGAACGCUGGCGGCGUGCCUAAUACAUGCAAGUCGAACGCUUCUUUCCUCCCGAGUGCUUGCACUCAAUUGGAAAGAGGAGUGGCGGACGGGUGAGUAACACGUGGGUAACCUACCCAUCAGAGGGGGAUAACACUUGGAAACAGGUGCUAAUACCGCAUAACAGUUUAUGCCGCAUGGCAUAAGAGUGAAAGGCGCUUUCGGGUGUCGCUGAUGGAUGGACCCGCGGUGCAUUAGCUAGUUGGUGAGGUAACGGCUCACCAAGGCCACGAUGCAUAGCCGACCUGAGAGGGUGAUCGGCCACACUGGGACUGAGACACGGCCCAGACUCCUACGGGAGGCAGCAGUAGGGAAUCUUCGGCAAUGGACGAAAGUCUGACCGAGCAACGCCGCGUGAGUGAAGAAGGUUUUCGGAUCGUAAAACUCUGUUGUUAGAGAAGAACAAGGACGUUAGUAACUGAACGUCCCCUGACGGCAUCUAACCAGAAAGCCACGGCUAACUACGUG
Molecule: ribosomal RNA, 508 nt
Filed under: uncultured bacterium
Lineage: Bacteria
Description: partial 16S ribosomal RNA
Rfam family: Bacterial small subunit ribosomal RNA
Source: RNAcentral